CUCAGGCUUAGCUCUGCCUCUGGGUAAGUGACUUUGAGGAGUGUGUCAGCUGGAGGUUUUGGUUGUCAACGGCAGAAAAAAUCCAGGCUCAUUUGAGCAACAGGGCAAUUGAAUUAGGAUGCUAUUGGGUGCACACUGACACAGCGGGAAGGCUGGGAACCAGACAGAGACCCUGGCACCUUGGGGGAUGGGAAGCAGAAGCCCCAGGAACUGCCCUUCGUGCAAAUGCUUGGAUCAGGGUGUGGUAGCUGACAUGAGUGAGCUCAAGAGUGCCAAAGGGCAGCUCCUUGUUGGGUUCACCACUGUGCUGGGGGAGGAGGAGGAAGGACCCUGAGCUUUGGCCUCAGUGGUGGAAACCAGGCACCAGGGUCCAUAGCUGUGCAAGACCUCCCCUCUUCGGAGGGAGUGAUUCCUCAAGAGAAAAUCAGCAACUGUCCAAAGAGGAAGUGGAUGUUGGGACAAACAACUGUCACAUGACUAAUCCCUUGCUUGAGAAAAGGGGGCUGGACCAGGCAACCGCUAUGUCUGUCUUCAUUAAACAUUUACGAAAGCUCCCUACCACUUCUUUCUUGAGAUCUUCCCCUUUCUUUGUCAGGUGGGUGUUGAGACUUGCACUCCUGGAUUCUUUAUUGCCUGUGGUGCCUCCCUGGCCUUUGACUGCUCCCCGGUGUCUCCCCAGUGGAGGCGUUGGCCUCUGUUUGUUCAGGAAGGUCACCAAGGCUUAUACUGCUAUAAAAAAGCAGAGUGAGCAGCUUUCAGGUCUGUGGGAGAGAAGGGUUAGCUCUGACCACUGAACACCUCCCCCACCACCACCACCAAGAGGACCUGGCUCACAUUUUGUGAUAAAGAAGGAAGACAGCACUUGGGUGGUCACUCUCCAGGGAGCAGACACUUGCUGCUAAAAAAACGAGGUCAGUCAGCAACAGCGCAUUUGCCUGCCCACAUCCCUUCUGAGGGCAGCUGAUGGCACUCUAGCACUCUAGUCAGUGCUUGCCCUACAGCCAUCGUCUCCCCUCAUUCCUGCUGAUGGGACCUGGGAUUUGGGUCAGACCGGAGGUCUCUUGGUCUUGGGCAAAGUAGACCCUUUCUCCAAGCCCAGGAAUGGGUCAUAAUUGGUCUAAGCCAGCCAACUUAUCUCCCUCCCUUCUGCCAAUGAUCGGGCAUGUCACUUGGUCAUGGUCAAUGACACAGAGAGAAAUGAGGCAGAAAUCCAUGGGGGCUUCCCAGUGGCAAGCAGCAAGUACUACCCCUACUCUUUCCCUCUAGCUGGACUUCGGCAGCCAACUUGGGGCCAUGAGAUGGCACUAUUGAGGAUGAGAAGCGAACCCCUAAGAGCAACAAAGCAAAGAAUUAGAAAGAGCCAGGAUUCUGCAUGGCACGCCACAGUCCCGACUCCUAUCUCCACGCUUCUCAUAUGGUAAUCCAAGAACUGCUUAUGCCACAAGCAGUGGUUGGCUAUUCUGCUGUUUGUGACCAAAGUAUUCCCAUCUGAUAGAAAAUAGCCAUCCAAAUCAACCCGGCGCCACUGUCUCCUCCACCGGCGUCUGCACAGUGUCACCCCGGCUGCUGCAGGCUGCGCCCCAGAAGGCAGUCCCCACCCGACCUCUGCAGGCCAGCGGUCUGCUCUGCAGCGGUGCCCCCAGCACACCACACGUGCCGUGUUGUCCUUUGCUAGGCUCCAGGGCGACCUUCAGAGCAAGAGGGCAUGUAAAUAAAAGGUCUUAUGUUUUAUAUGCUGGUCA
Vulpes vulpes (red fox) is the source of this 1742-nucleotide long non-coding RNA. Lineage: Eukaryota; Metazoa; Chordata; Mammalia; Carnivora; Canidae. The record is from Ensembl.